AGAGUUUGAUCCUGGCUCAGGAUGAACGCUGGCGGCGUGCUUAACACAUGCAAGUCGAGCGAAGCAUCUGUUUGAUUUUUCGGAAUGAAAACAGUUUGACUGAGCGGCGGACGGGUGAGUAACGCGUGGGUAACCUGCCUUACACAGGGGGAUAACAGUUAGAAAUGACUGCUAAUACCGCAUAACCCGCUAGGGCCACAUGGCCCGGACGGAAAGAUUUUAUCGGUGUAAGAUGGACCCGCGUCUGAUUAGCUGGUUGGUGAGGUAACGGCUCACCAAGGCGACGAUCAGUAGCCGACCUGAGAGGGUGAUCGGCCACAUUGGGACUGAGACACGGCCCAAACUCCUACGGGAGGCAGCAGUGGGGAAUAUUGCACAAUGGGGGAAACCCGUGAUGCAGCAACGCCGCGUGAGUGAAGAAGUAUUUCGGUAUGUAAAGCUCUAUCAGCAGGGAAGAAAAUGACAGUACCUGACUAAGAAGCCCCGGCUAACUACGUG
RNAcentral lists this ribosomal RNA (498 nucleotides) under uncultured Eubacteriales bacterium. RNAcentral describes it as "bacterial SSU rRNA". It matches the Rfam family "Bacterial small subunit ribosomal RNA", at positions 8 to 507 of the family's 1533-position model. Lineage: Bacteria; Bacillati; Bacillota; Clostridia; Eubacteriales. The record is from RNAcentral.